Long non-coding RNA from Homo sapiens (human), 2228 nucleotides. Ensembl annotates it as long intergenic non-protein coding RNA 1182. The record is from Ensembl. Lineage: Eukaryota; Metazoa; Chordata; Mammalia; Primates; Hominidae.
AUUGCUUGAGGCUUGCUCUUGGGAAUGGUAGCUCCCUGGAACUUCUGUCCAGCCUGCAUAUCUGGACUGUGCAGGGGAUACUUCUAUGGCCAGAAAAAGCCCUUGGGCAGAGAGAAGCAGGUUCUUGAUGCUGAGAUGUCUGCGUGCUUGGGAGUUGACCACUGCAGCUGCAGGAGCUGCCUGGCAAUGGUAGCAGGUGAAGGUCAUGGUGAAGAAGAUGCAGAUAUUGGCAAUUUGGAGCAUUAGAUGAACUAAUUACAACGUUAACCUAAGGAACAGUGCAACAGAAAAUGGGCUAAGACAUGGAGCAAGGGGCAGAACGACUCUUGAAGAUGCUGAGCAACUUCUGAGAACAUUAACUGAAUACGUCAGAGACUCUGAUCAUGUCAGAGACCGAAGCAGAGAAACAGAGAACACUCAUCUUCCUUCUCAACCUGGCUCUGGAUGCCAACUGGCAACGCUGUGAACCAGUUUGGGCUUGGAGGGCUCAGAGGAAGCCACUUUUGGAAGGCAUUGGAAGCUGGUUUUUCAGAGCCUACUCUUUGCUACCCCUUUCUAUGUUGAAAAUAAAAAUGUAAAGCCUAAUUCAUAGUCACAACAACAAUGACACCAGGAAUAAAUCACAGACCAGAGUCCAAACAUCUGGUCACGUUGCUCAUCUACCAUCUGGUGGGUCUCCUCUCAGCUCUGUGUUCUGACUGCCAGUCAUCUCCCUUCUUCUCUGUCUUCACUGGCACUAUUCUAGGUUUAUAGUUUUGAAAUAGGUUCCUAACUGGUUGCUCUGCCUCCAGACUCUUAUACUGUAUACAGGUCCAGUGACAAAACGAUGGUUUGUUUUACAGUCCACAGAUACAUUUUACUUAUUUUUUUAAUGUCCAUAACACUCUUUGGAAUAAGAUUUAAAAAUUGAAAAAUCAGAUGAUUUUAUGUAAAAAUCCAUAUUUCCUGUUUAUGCUAAAAAAUUGAAUGAUCUGACCUCACUGGUCCACACCGAGCAACAACUGGGUAAAUCUUGCCAUUUUGGUUUUUUUUUUUUUUUUUUUUUUUUAGCUCAGGCAUCGGAUUUUUGUCCAGUUCAUCACAAUCUCUCCUCUUUACUAUUGUUUUAAACCCUUCUUUUUUGUUACCUGCCUGAGCCUGGGAGGUAUUUGAACUUAAAGACAUUACUUCAAUGCUUUAUACAGACUCAUUUCUCUGAAACACGAAUUUGAUCAUGUCACUCUCAUGUUUAAAAACCUUCGCCAGCCUGCUUGCCUGGUGGAUAAAGUUCAAACACUUGACCCUAGCAUAGAAGGGCCUCCAUAACCUAAUCUUUUAUCUCUGUGGCUCUUCCUAGCUCACACUCUGCCCAGAAGCCAUGCUGAAAGGCGGUGCUCUGUUGUACCCCUCUGUCCUCUGCCUGCUCUAAUGUCCUAUUUUUAGCUGAAUAUCUUUUCUUCAAUUUUUCAUCUGGUAAAUGUCUUCUCCUUAGUAUCAGCUCAUACUUUAAAAAAGUCCUUCUCGAACUUUUGUGCUUUCAUUACCUGCUUCUUCUUCACUUUCUGAGGACCUUGGACCCUCCUCUAUUGCAAUGGUAUUGCCAAGCCAAUUCUUUCUCCUUCUUCAGACUGUACAACCCUUAGGGCUCUGAGCCAUCUUUGCCUUUGGGAAUUUAUUGCAGAGUAGGUGAAUGGUGUUCACUGAAUAAAUGUUUCAGAUUGGAAAAUUUGAUCUUUCAUUUCCUUACCUAUAGGAUGGAACCGUAAUACCUUCUGUUCACAUACAGGAGAAUCAUUGUGGGGAUCAAAUGACACAAUGUCUUUUGUAAAAAUGUUAACAAAGCACUUGGAAACUGCAAAGUAAUAUAUGAGUAGAUGGAAUUAAUAUAGAAAAUGUUAUGUUCUCAACUUGCUUAAAAUAAUUUAACUGUGUUAUUUCUAGCAAGAACAGUGAUCUUGAAGGCAGGGCUAUAGUUCUUGUUUAUAGUUCCAAUUUUAUUGCCAAUUAGUUGGAUGACUUAGGGAAAGUAAUUUUGCCUAUCUAGACCUCAGUUUCCACAGCUGAGCUCUGGAAAUUUUAAGGUAUUUGUUAUGUCUUUCAUGUUUUUCUCCAGUCUUCCUAGAAGUAAAACAUUUUUCUUGUUUUCAAAGACUUUCAUUCUUCCACAUUUGGUAUGGUAUAUUAACCGUAAUACAAUAAUGAAUAUGCAGCCAUUCGUUUUUUCAUUAAAUAUGCAAAUCAUUGAGAAU